Molecule: long non-coding RNA, 246 nt
Filed under: Phoenix dactylifera (date palm)
Lineage: Eukaryota; Viridiplantae; Streptophyta; Magnoliopsida; Arecales; Arecaceae
Description: long non-coding RNA (PDAC_LNC012658)
Source: RNAcentral
UUGAUGCGGUUGGAUCCACUAGACCGCCUCGGACUUAAUCAUUUGGUUAUUUUUGCUUUUGAGUCCUUGAUGUUAAUUUUAUUUCAGCAUAGCCUUGCUCGGGCUAGCCGACUUGGCCUUUAUUUGAGUCGCUUUGGGUUUAGUUGUUUUUUGAAUUCAAUUAGAUCAAGUCAAGUUAAGGGGUCAGGUAGCCACCUAUAAAUAGAUGUGGUGAGCACCUAUUUCAGCAUGCAAAAAUUAAUUGAA